GUUUGAUUAUGGCUCAGGAUGAACGCUAGCGAUAGGCUUAACACAUGCAAGUCGAGGGGCAGCACGGUGUAGCAAUACACUGGUGGCGACCGGCGUACGGGUGCGUAACACGUAUGCAACCUACCCGCUAUUGGGGGAUAACCCGGCGAAAGUCGGACUAAUACCCCAUAUUAUUCUUACCGGGCAUCCGGUAGGUCUGAAAGAUUUAUCGAUUGCGGAUGGGCAUGCGGAUGAUUAGCUAGUAGGUGGGGUAACGGCUCACCUAGGCGACGAUCAUUAGGGGUUCUGAGAGGAAGGUCCCCCCACACUGGAACUGAGACACGGUCCAGACUCCUACGGGAGGCAGCAGUGAGGAAUAUUGGUCAAUGGGCGCUAGCCUGAACCAGCCAAGUCGCGUGAAGGAUGACAAGAUCUAUGGUUUGUAAACUUCUUUUGCAGGGGAGUAAAGUGCGACACAUGUGUUGUAUUGCAAGUACCCUGCGAAUAAGCAUCGGCUAACUCCGUGCCAGCCGCGGC
Molecule: ribosomal RNA, 516 nt
Filed under: uncultured bacterium
Lineage: Bacteria
Description: bacterial SSU rRNA
Rfam family: Bacterial small subunit ribosomal RNA
Source: RNAcentral